CUCAGGACGAACGCUGGCGGCGUGCCUAAUACAUGCAAGUCGAGCGGACAGAAGGGAGCUUGCUCCCGGAUGUUAGCGGCGGACGGGUGAGUAACACGUGGGUAACCUGCCUGUAAGACUGGGAUAACUCCGGGAAACCGGAGCUAAUACCGGAUAGUUCCUUGAACCGCAUGGUUCAAGGAUGAAAGACGGUUUCGGCUGUCACUUACAGAUGGACCCGCGGCGCAUUAGCUAGUUGGUGGGGUAAUGGCUCACCAAGGCGACGAUGCGUAGCCGACCUGAGAGGGUGAUCGGCCACACUGGGACUGAGACACGGCCCAGACUCCUACGGGAGGCAGCAGUAGGGAAUCUUCCGCAAUGGACGAAAGUCUGACGGAGCAACGCCGCGUGAGUGAUGAAGGUUUUCGGAUCGUAAAGCUCUGUUGUUAGGGAAGAACAAGUGCGAGAGUAACUGCUCGCACCUUGACGGUACCUAACCAGAAAGCCACGGCUAACUACGUGCCAGCAGCCGCGGUAAUAC
RNAcentral lists this ribosomal RNA (520 nucleotides) under uncultured marine bacterium. RNAcentral describes it as "bacterial SSU rRNA". It matches the Rfam family "Bacterial small subunit ribosomal RNA", at positions 23 to 526 of the family's 1533-position model. The record is from RNAcentral.